Molecule: ribosomal RNA, 506 nt
Filed under: uncultured bacterium
Lineage: Bacteria
Description: partial 16S ribosomal RNA
Rfam family: Bacterial small subunit ribosomal RNA
Source: RNAcentral
AGUGAACGCUGGCGGUAGGCCUAACACAUGCAAGUCGAACGGCAGCACAGAGGAGCUUGCUCCUUGGGUGGCGAGUGGCGGACGGGUGAGGAAUACAUCGGAAUCUACUCUGUCGUGGGGGAUAACGUAGGGAAACUUACGCUAAUACCGCACACGACCUACGGGUGAAGGCAGGGGAUCUUCGGACCUUGCGCGAUUGAAUGAGGCGAUGUCGGAUUAGCUAGUUGGCGGGGUAAAGGCCCACCAAGGCGACGAUCCGUAGCUGGUCUGAGAGGAUGAUCAGCCACACUGGAACUGAGACACGGUCCAGACUCCUACGGGAGGCAGCAGUGGGGAAUAUUGGACAAUGGGCGCAAGCCUGAUCCAGCCAUACCGCGUGGGUGAAGAAGGCCUUCGGGUUGUAAAGCCCUUUUGUUGGGAAAGAAAUCCAUCUGGUUAAUACCCGGGUGGGAUGACGGUACCCAAAGAAUAAGCACCGGCUAACUUCGUGCCAGCAGCCGCAGUAA